RNAcentral lists this transfer RNA (77 nucleotides) under Oxalobacteraceae bacterium. Its description in RNAcentral is "tRNA-Arg". It matches the Rfam family "tRNA". Rfam says of the family: Transfer RNA (tRNA) molecules are approximately 80 nucleotides in length. Lineage: Bacteria; Pseudomonadati; Pseudomonadota; Betaproteobacteria; Burkholderiales; Oxalobacteraceae. The record is from RNAcentral. RNAcentral also lists the same sequence under 3 other names.
GCUCCCGUAGCUCAGUUGGAUAGAGCGACGGUUUCCUAAACCGCAGGUCGCAAGUUCGAUUCUUGCCGGGAGCGCCA